RNAcentral lists this long non-coding RNA (4928 nucleotides) under Mustela putorius furo (domestic ferret). RNAcentral describes it as "lncRNA (ENSMPUG00000031405.1)". The record is from RNAcentral. Lineage: Eukaryota; Metazoa; Chordata; Mammalia; Carnivora; Mustelidae.
AUGCUUCAACUCUCCAGAGAACAAACGUGGUGGGCAGAUAACAACGGGUCUGGGUUUGAAGGUGGCCUCAUGGCCUCCCGUGUCUCCAUGAAGCUCCUCAACUUCAGGUUCCUCUCUUGUGAGACAAGCUGUAAGGCUAGUAACUGCCGGAGGUGGAGAUUUCUUCUUGUUCUUCCUUCCCUUUCCUCCCUCUCUUUGACCAUUUCCAGUCUAGGUGCCCAAUGGGUCUGGAGUAAGACAGCAAGAAAGGCCAAGGCUUUGGUGGACAACAGCACAAUCCUGAAGCUUUGCCCUGAGGUCCCCCUAAAGCCCCCUGAACGCUCAACCAAGAGAACCCCAGGGGUGGACCUUUCUUCUUCAGAAUGGAAGUGCGUCUGUCUACUCUUCAAACGCUCUUCUCAUACAGGAAAUUCUACUCGUUAAAGACUUGUCCAUGAGGAUUCUUGAAGUGGAAAUGUUUUUGGACAAAUGGUGGUAUCAUCUAUUCAGAUAAGAAUGAAUGCAAUUUAAUUGAUUGUCUUUGAACUUUUAACCGACAUGAGCCACGUUUAGGAAAUGGGGACUUUGAUGUUAGGACGAGCCAGUGGAGGGCAGAGAUGAGGCAUGGUGGGGAGAGAAGAAGGUGUGUAGGAGAAGGGAGGUCUGUGUGGGUGUUUUGGCGUACUUGGCAUGGGGAGGGAUGCCUAACAAGCUUCCAGACUACACUAGGGUUCGGUGGUUGCUGUAGCACGUGACCGCAAACUUGGUGACUUCAAACAGUAGACAUGAAUUUGUUCACAGCUCUGGAAGCCAGAAGUCCAAGAUCAGGGUGUCAUCGGGGCCAUGUUCCUCCUUAAGGCUCUAGGGAAGAAUCCUUCCUGGCUCCUUCUAGCUUCUGAGGGCCCCUGGCUUGUGGCUACGCCGUUCCCAUGUCCACCUCCCUGUUCACAUGGCCUCCUUCCCCGUGGGUGUCUCUGUGUCCUCUCUUCUGGUAAGAAACCAGUCAUGGCAUUUAGGUUCCACUCUAAGCCCAGGAUGGUUUUAUCUCAAGAUUCUUAACGAAUCCCAUCUGCAAAGACCCUAUUUCCAAACGAGGGCACAUUCUGAGGUUCUGGUUGGCCGUGGAUUGGCUGUGGGACACUAUUCAGCCGCCACACAGGUGUUGCAAGAGUGGGGGUGGGGGCACCUCGGUGGUGCUGGAAAGGAGAUGGAAUGAGCAGCAAAGUUAAGUCUUUUUUCUAGAACUGACCCUUCCUCUCUUCUCUUGUCAGGUGAGACUCGGCCUCUUCUUGCAGAAAAUCUGGCCUGAGGGGGCAGAAGGUGCCUCUGCAGAUGCCACCCUACGGUGUGGAGCUCUCUCCCGCCCCUCCGACCUGCUGUCCAGCUGGAGACAGCUUGCCCCUUCUCCCCUGCCUGUUGGCUCCUCCCUACAGAGGGACCCAAUUCUACCGGAGACAGCAUCACAGGGAUGGGGUUUACAGGGUCUCAAAUGCAAUAGACUGGUGUUUGAGAGUUUUGUCCAGAAAAGAAACGACUAGUGGCCUUCACUCCUGCCAAUGUCAGUCUCCACUUGCCUAAGUGCUUUUGUUAGUUAUUAACACGACUCGAACCUGAUUAGAUCCCCGCAACCUCUCCACUGAGCACUAUUUAAAAACGCCAUCUCUACAGACAAGGGCUCCGUCUCCCAGCUUCCUCGACCCAGCGUCUUUUUAGGCAGUGUGCAAGCCCAAGGGUGAAGUGUUGGAUUCUUAUUAGCAUUUUCCAACAGCCAAGCGGGUGUUCCUAUGCAGAUGGGCCGAAUGCUUUCCUUUUAUGUAAAUGUCUGAUGCACUACAGAGCUGUCCUCUGAUUCCUUGCAUCCUGCUCAGAUCUCACCGGGCCCUUUUAAGGUAGCAACCAUUUGGCAGCUCUAAUCAAAGAAGCUGGCCUCUUUCUAUCAAGAAGUUAAAAUUCUGACAUAGCCCUAAAAUUUCUCGAGACAAAAAGUUCAUCUAUUUUCAGUUUGAUGGUACGUUAGUCGUGUGUUGUUUUUCUUUCUUUCUUUCUUUUUUUUCCUUGCCUAUGAUAAAAGAUCCAUUCAAACUAGCUGAAAGCACAAAAAGGGAUUUAAUAGGAUCCUGGGGUUUCUUACAUAAUCAGAGGAAACCAAUAGCCAGACGGGGAAAGGGGGUUCGACUCCAGGAAGGAGCAGGAGAGCCUUGAGCCACCACAAGGAUUCGUGCUGGGUCUCUGCUUCUGUCUCCUGGUCGACCUCAUAAUCCCCACACGAGGGCCCACAUCUGACAUCCUGCUGAGGUCCCAGCCGGAGCAGGACUGACUCACCCUCGUGGUCUCACAGUUAAAUAAAAUGCCAAGGCAGGGCUGGGACUGGACCAGCCUGGGCAAGACCAUCACUCCCGGAUCCAAGGGCCACAGGUGUCUGGAAAGCCCCUUCCUCUGGACAGUUCAUGAACCCAUACUGAGGUCAUCGAAGCUAAGUCACCUCUUCUUUUAGGUAAUGCAAUUCACGAUGGCCUUGCUGUGCACGUGUCUCUUGUUGAAGAAAUGAUGCUUGGAAUCCUAUGUUGUUGAUUUCCUUUGACGGAACCUUUCUGGAACAGGUGAAAACAUCUAUUCUGGCAAAAAAUUCGGCUAUGCCAAGUUUAUUAAAAUGGGUCAGAUAUUGUUUAAAACUCUGUGUUAAGUGCUAUGGUGUGAAGAGUAUUUAGUGCUGUGGAUAUUAGGUUUAACAAACACCGUGAUCUUGUGUCUAGUGAGAAAAACUCUUCUCCAUUUCAUUUGUUGAGGAACUAAAGCUGAGACCUAAAAGGGGCAGUUGAGGGAUGCCUGGGUGGCUCAGUCGGUUAAGCGUCUGCCUUCGGCUCAGGUCAUGAUCCCAGGGUCCUGGGAUCAAGUCCUGCAUCAGGUUCACUGCUUAAUGAUAAGCCUGCUUCUCCCUCUCUCCCUCCCCCCACUCAUGCUCUCUCUCUCUCUGUCUCUCUCUCUCAAAUAAAUACAUAAAAUCUUAAAAAAAAAAAUUAAAAGGGCAGUUGAUAAAAGCAGCUCUGGGCUAUGUCCCCAUAUUUAAAAAAAUAAGAGCAUCAGCAGUAGGUGUCACCUUCCUUUAAAAAGACAGGUCUUGGCUGCAACAGAAAAACAGCCCAGAUUCUUCCCCUAGGCUCAGCUUCGUUGCACUGAACCAUCAUGGAAUGAAGCAAAAUUCUUCCCUUAUCCUGUGCAUUGCACAUUCCUGGUUUCUCGGAGUACCUAGCAAAUUCCUCCGGGAAUAUUCCUUCACCCCCUUUGAAGGAAAAGGACGAAGGCCAGAAGACUAAGCAGAAAGCCCGUCUCUUGCUGGGAUACAGCGCAGAGCGCGAGACUUGGGGCAACAGUCUUGGCCCCAGAUCUAGACGAAGUGGAAUAGAAUACUAGACACUUCAAAAUUUUGAUUUUCUCAGCUCAUCGCAGAGUUGAGGUAAUUCUACGCAGUGCUGGUUUGAGUAUUCAAGGCACGGGAUUACUUGGCAAGACUUCUGUUUGGUCCCAAGGGUACCCUGAUCUCACCCCCUUUUCUGGGCAGUCCCUGUCUCUCCCCCGGUCCCCUGCGUGCCCCCAGCACAAGGCGGGGAGACGGCCCUUGAGGAAGAGCCGCACUCGUGUCAGCCUUACUGCUAGUGGCAUCACUUAAACUAAGUUUCUCUCUCCUGUUUUCCCAUGAGCACAAGGUCAUUUCCUGUUGGCUGGCCUGACACGGGGAGACACGGCCUCGCACACCACCUGAUACGGAGUGUCCUCGGUCCUAUGUGUCCCUAAGUGUCCAGACGCCCCAUCGGUGGUUCCUCCACCCAUACUUCCCUGUGCGCUCAUUCCAAGGACCCCUUGUUCUUUGGAGGAUGUGUCUUAGAAAGAGGCAGCAGUGUUUGUGUCAAAGCACCAGCGGCAGACUGAGGGACACUUUUUGAAACAAGGGUGUUGGCUAAUCCUCUCCCACGGCUGGCCCGGUCCCUGGAGGGUGGCGGAACAGAGAGUCAAGAGUCGAUCAGAAAUAGCGCCCUGUAAGCCCUCAGGCACCAAGAUCCUCAUCCAAGAAACUGCUCUGAGUGUCAAGUGCGUCACGUCUGCCAAGGCAGGACCGAGGACAGCCAGGCCUGCGGCCACAGCCAGCGGAAGGCUGAUAUAUUACCGUUGUCUUCUGGGCUCGGUAAUAUCCGGUUUUCCAGGGGUAACACUUCGCCCGGUGCUAGAAGGGAGCGAAACAUGCUUUUGGCCUUCUCUGGCUCGGGAUAGGGAGCUUAGUUUUGCAGCAGAAGAGCCCAGACUCAUUCCGAUGGUCCAUCUCUGUCAACACAAAUGUCAGAAAGAGAAGCCCGUGAGGCAGCACCUGUGGAAAAAUGAGGACGAACGUGGGAUACAGUUUGGCAUUUGGGCCUCCUGGGCACUCCGGAAUCCCGCCCUUUCCAGAAGAGCUGACAGGAAUGGCCGUGGCCGGCUGCCCCCGGAAACUCUGAUAACUUCCCGAGUUGUUGCACAACCGCUGAGUGGAGCUCCCGCCGGGACUGUCUUCUGCUGGAUACCGUGUCUUAUUCUAGCUGCGGACUCAACCGCCGGCCCACGGCCAAGGACAGUCCUAUUUCUAUUUCGGGAACGCUUGCCAUUUAAUUCUGUCUCAGAUAACAUUCCGAUGCUUUACCCCGUAAAAAUAAAUCCAAUUCUUUGAAGUCUGGUGUGUGUUUGGGUCUUCAUAUAGAGACAAUGGGGACCAUACGUCAUUAUUGGCUUUAAUAGAAAAACCGGGGACUAAAUGUCUGUAAGUUGAAGCCUGUAACACCGUUUUAAAGCCUAUAACUGUCUUGAUCGUGGGGGGAGGCCGGUAGGGGGGCGGAAUGCUCCAGAACUCAAUAAAAUAACAAGGUAGAUUAAAAAAAACUCUAAACAACACUUGGACUGGUAAUUAUUAUUAUUUUUUAAAG